GUUAAGAGAAAAACAAGAAAAAGUGAGAGAGAGCUUUGAAACUUGUAAGAUUGAAAGACUUGGAACAUUAAAUUAAGGAAGAAUCAAGAGAAGGAAGAUAUAAGAAAGGUGAGGAGGGCUGGCCACACUAGGAGGAGAAGAACAGUUGGGAGAACUUAGAUUGGAGUUGUACCGGGAGCAGGGCAUCAAGCAGGAGGAGCUGGGCCAUUACGAGCAGAUGGUUUUUCACGAGGUGAUGCGGAGCGUUAAAUAUGGGCUUUGUGUUUUAAUCUGUUUAUUUUGUGGAAUGUAAUAUAUUUGCUUUAUAUGUAAUUUGUAUUAUAUGUAGAUUGUAAUAUAUGUAUCCUGAAUAUGUUUUGCUUUUGGUACUUAUACAUUUAAAAUGUAUGAGUAAGGAACUAAUAUUAUUAAACUAUUCAAAAAGAAAAUUUAGUAA
Long non-coding RNA from Populus trichocarpa (black cottonwood), 436 nucleotides. RefSeq lists it as uncharacterized. NCBI's taxonomy places the organism in Eukaryota, Viridiplantae, Streptophyta, Magnoliopsida, Malpighiales, Salicaceae. The record is from RefSeq and is a predicted model, not a curated record. The transcript has 3 exons.